This is a long non-coding RNA of Gallus gallus (chicken), 708 nucleotides long. The record is from Ensembl. NCBI's taxonomy places the organism in Eukaryota, Metazoa, Chordata, Aves, Galliformes, Phasianidae.
UCCUGAGCUCCUGGGGAAAUCAGUGGCAGGGACACAGACAUGAUUUCCUCAGCCCGUGGCAGUGUUUGGGGAAAUGCAAUGAGAGCUUGGAGCGCUGUCCCAUGAAGGGAAUGUGAUGGAUGUGAUGGACACAGUAAAUCUGGGACUUCCAUGGCUGAGUGGUGGCCUUGUCCUUUCUGAGGGACCAUCCAGGGACACUGCCCAGAGAGCUGUGGGUGCCCCAUCCCUGGAGGUGCUCAAGAACAUUAGGAAAAAAAUCUUCUCUGAAAGGGUAGUAAUGCAUUGGAACGGGCUGCCCAGGGAGGCGGUGGAUUCCCUGUCCCUACAGGGCACCUUGUCUGUGUGCUGGAGAUGGACACCUCUCCAAGAGCAUCUACCAGGGUCUCCAUCCUUUGCUCCUGUACCUGCAAAGGAAAGGCCAUGUCGUCUUGAAGCUGGGCUUGUUCUGAAAACCCCUCCUGUGCUUCCUGGUGUCACACAGCACGUCGGUUCAGGUGUCACUGCCAAUCCCACUUGCCAGGCCCAUGUGCACUUCGUUUUCUUGCCCUUCUUGAGAACUGUCUGCAGGUUGUGCUUUGCCUCCAUCAUCAUUGUGGCUUUCAUCUGCACCGGUAGCGGCAAUCCCCACCAUGCAGGAUUUAUUUACAUUGCAGGAUGGACUCCCUGCUUCUCCUCGGUAGGUGACAAACAACGACGUCUAGGAUGGAG